CCGAGUUACCCAACUCCAAACCUUUGUGAAUCUACCAUUGUUGCUUCGGCGGACGGCUCCGGGGGAGCCUCAAGCCCUCGCGGGUGUCCGCCGAAAGCCCUAUACUCUUCUGUAUUCCAGGUCUUACCUUCUGAAUGCAAAAACAAACAAGUAA
RNAcentral lists this unclassified non-coding RNA (154 nucleotides) under uncultured Hypocreales. RNAcentral's name for it is "sequence contains ITS1". Lineage: Eukaryota; Fungi; Ascomycota; Sordariomycetes; Hypocreales. The record is from RNAcentral.